GCUCUGUCACCUCCUGUGAGCUGACACAGCCACCCUCAGUGUCAGUAGCUCCAGGACAGAUGACUAGGAUCACCUGUAGGGAAAACAGUAUUGGAAGUAAAAGUGCUUAAUGGUACCAGCAGAAGCCAGGACAGGCCCCUGUGUGGGUCAUCUAUGGGGAUAGCAGGCGGCCUUCAGGGAUCUCUGAGAUUCUCUGGCUCAAACUCAGGGAACAGGACCACCCUGGCCAUCAACAGGGCCCAGGCUGGGGACGAGGCUAUUACUGUAAGAUGUGGGACAUUAGGACUCCUCAUCC
This is a non-coding RNA of Homo sapiens (human), 295 nucleotides long. The record is from the annotation of a RefSeq genome assembly. NCBI's taxonomy places the organism in Eukaryota, Metazoa, Chordata, Mammalia, Primates, Hominidae.